UACGGGGGGGGCAAGCGUUGUUCGGAAUUACUGGGCGUAAAGGGCGCGUAGGCGGCCUUCUAAGUCGGACGUGAAAUCCCUCGUCUUAACCGAGGAACUGCGUCCGAUACUGAAAGGCUUGAAUCCGGGAGAGGGAUGUGGAAUUCCAGGUGUAGCGGUGAAAUGCGUAGAUAUCUGGAGGAACACCGGUGGCGAAGGCGGCAUCCUGGACCGGCAUUGACGCUGAGGCGCGAAAGCUAGGGGAGCAAACGGG
RNAcentral lists this ribosomal RNA (253 nucleotides) under uncultured bacterium. RNAcentral describes it as "partial 16S ribosomal RNA". It matches the Rfam family "Bacterial small subunit ribosomal RNA", at positions 524 to 776 of the family's 1533-position model. The record is from RNAcentral.